Molecule: ribosomal RNA, 303 nt
Filed under: uncultured bacterium
Lineage: Bacteria
Description: partial 16S ribosomal RNA
Rfam family: Bacterial small subunit ribosomal RNA
Source: RNAcentral
AGCAGUAGCCGCGGUAAUACAGAGGGUGCGAGCGUUAAUCGGAUUUACUGGGCGUAAAGCGUGCGUAGGCGGCUUCUUAAGUCGGAUGUGAAAUCCCUGAGCUUAACUUAGGAAUUGCAUUCGAUACUGGGAAGCUAGAGUAUGGGAGAGGAUGGUAGAAUUACAGGUGUAGCGGUGAAAUGCGUAGAGAUCUGGAGGAAUACCGAUGGCGAAGGCAGCCAUCUGGCCUAAUACUGACGCUGAGGUACGAAAGCAUGGGGAGCAAACAGGAUUAGAUACCCCUGUAGUCCCUGUCUCUUAUAC